Long non-coding RNA from Oncorhynchus tshawytscha (Chinook salmon), 610 nucleotides. The record is from Ensembl. Lineage: Eukaryota; Metazoa; Chordata; Actinopteri; Salmoniformes; Salmonidae.
CAGCAGGUAGCCUAGUGGUUAGAGCGUUGGGCCAGUAACCAGCAGGUAGCCUAGUGGUUAGAGCGUUGGGCCAGUAACCAGCAGGUAGCCUAGUGGUUAGAGCGUUGGGCCAGUAACCAGCAGGUAGUCUAGUGGUUAGAGCGUUGGGCCAGUAACCAGCAGGUAGCCUAGUGGUUAGAGCAUUGGGCCAGUAAACAGCAGGUAGCCUAGUGGUUAGAGCGUUGGGCCAGUAACCAGCAGGUAGCCUAGUGGUUAGAGCGUUGGGCCAGUAACCAGCAGGUAGCCUAGUGGUUAGAGCAUUGGGCCAGUAACCAGCAGGUAGCCUAGUGGUUAGAGCAUUGGGCCAGUAACCAGCAGGUAGCCUAGUGGUUAGAGCGUUGGGCCAGUAACCAGCAGGUAGCCUAGUGGUUAGAGCGUUGGGCCAGUAACCAGCAGGUAGCCUAGUGGUUAGAGCGUUGGGCCAGUAACCAGCAGGUAGCCUAGUGGUUAGAGCGUUGGGCCAGUAACCAGCAGGUAGCCUAGUGGUUAGAGCGUUGGGCCAGUAACCAGCAGGUAGUCUAGUGGUUAGAGCGUUGGGCCAGUAACCAGCAGGUAGCCUAGUGGUUAGAGC